Molecule: ribosomal RNA, 253 nt
Filed under: uncultured bacterium
Lineage: Bacteria
Description: partial 16S ribosomal RNA
Rfam family: Bacterial small subunit ribosomal RNA
Source: RNAcentral
UACGAAGGGGGCUAGCGUUGUUCGGAAUUACUGGGCGUAAAGCGUGCGCAGGCGGCUUCUCAAGUCAGGGGUGAAAGCCCAGAGCUCAACUCUGGAAUUGCCUUUGAGACUGAGUGGCUUGAGUACGAGAGAGGUGAGUGGAAUUCCCAGUGUAGAGGUGAAAUUCGUAGAUAUUGGGAAGAACACCGGUGGCGAAGGCGGCUCACUGGCUCGUAACUGACGCUCAUGCACGAAAGCGUCGGGAGCAAACAGG